This 550-nucleotide ribosomal RNA is filed under the name uncultured bacterium. Its description in RNAcentral is "partial 16S ribosomal RNA". It matches the Rfam family "Bacterial small subunit ribosomal RNA", at positions 355 to 895 of the family's 1533-position model. The record is from RNAcentral.
UGGGGAAUUUUGGACAAUGGGCGAAAGCCUGAUCCAGCAAUGCCGCGUGUGUGAAGAAGGCCUUCGGGUUGUAAAGCACUUUUGUCCGGAAAGAAAUCCUCUGGGUUAAUACCUCGGGGGGAUGACGGUACCGGAAGAAUAAGCACCGGCUAACUACGUGCCAGCAGCCGCGGUAAUACGUAGGGUGCAAGCGUUAAUCGGAAUUACUGGGCGUAAAGCGUGCGCAGGCGGUUUUGUAAGACGGAUGUGAAAUCCCCGGGCUUAACCUGGGAACUGCAUUCGUGACUGCAAGGCUAGAGUAUGGCAGAGGGGGGUAGAAUUCCACGUGUAGCAGUGAAAUGCGUAGAGAUGUGGAGGAAUACCGAUGGCGAAGGCAGCCCCCUGGGCCAAUACUGAUGCUCAUGCACGAAAGCGUGGGGAGCAAACAGGAUUAGAUACCCUGGUAGUCCACGCCCUAAACGAUGUCAACUAGUUGUUGGGGAUUCAUUUCCUUAGUAACGUGAGCUAACGCGUGAAAGUUGACCGCCUGGGGGAGUACGGUCGCAAGAUU